RNAcentral lists this ribosomal RNA (589 nucleotides) under uncultured Gammaproteobacteria bacterium. Its description in RNAcentral is "bacterial SSU rRNA". It matches the Rfam family "Bacterial small subunit ribosomal RNA", at positions 34 to 616 of the family's 1533-position model. Lineage: Bacteria; Pseudomonadati; Pseudomonadota; Gammaproteobacteria. The record is from RNAcentral.
CGCUGGCGGCGUGCUUAACACAUGCAAGUCGUGCGGUAACAGGCGUAGCAAUACGUGCUGACGAGCGGCGAACGGGUGCGUAAUACAUGGGAAUCUGCCCUUUAGUGGGGAAUAACUCGGCGAAAGCCGGGCUAAUGCCGCAUAAGAUCUUCGGAUGAAAGCGGGGGAUCGUAAGACCUCGCGCUGAUGGAUGAGCCCAUGUCGGAUUAGCUAGUUGGUGAGGUAACGGCUCACCAAGGCGACGAUCCGUAGCUGGUCUGAGAGGACGGCCAGCCACACUGGGACUGAGACACGGCCCAGACUCCUACGGGAGGCAGCAGUGGGGAAUAUUGGACAAUGGGGGAAACCCUGAUCCAGCGACGCCGCGUGUGUGAAGAAGGCCUGCGGGUUGUAAAGCACUUUCAGUGGGAACGAAAUAUGCCGGGCUAAUAUCCCGGUAGGCUGACGUUACUCAACGAAGAAGCACCGGCUAACUCUGUGCCAGCAGCCGCGGUAAUACAGAGGGUGCGAGCGUUAAUCGGAAUUACUGGGCGUAAAGCGCACGUAGGUGGCGACGUAAGUCGGGUGUGAAAGCCCCGGGCUCAACCUG